UUAUAGUUUGAUCCUGGCUCAGAUUGAACGCUGGCGGCAUGCCUUACACAUGCAAGUCGAACGGUAACAGGGAGCUUGCUCCGCUGACGAGUGGCGAACGGGUGAGUAAUAUAUCGGAACGUACCUUUGAGUGGGGGAUAACUAGUCGAAAGAUUAGCUAAUACCGCAUACGAUCUACGGAUGAAAGUGGGGGAUCGCAAGACCUCAUGCUCAUAGAGCGGCCGAUAUCUGAUUAGCUAGUUGGUGAGGUAAAGGCUCACCAAGGCUUCGAUCAGUAGCUGGUCUGAGAGGACGACCAGCCACACUGGGACUGAGACACGGCCCAGACUCCUACGGGAGGCAGCAGUGGGGAAUUUUGGACAAUGGGGGCAACCCUGAUCCAGCAAUGCCGCGUGAGUGAAGAAGGCCUUCGGGUUGUAAAGCUCUUUUGUCAGGGAAGAAACGGGGGAUCCUAAUACGGUCCCCAUAAUGACGGUACUUGAAGAAUAA
Molecule: ribosomal RNA, 489 nt
Filed under: bacterium PMB31
Lineage: Bacteria
Description: bacterial SSU rRNA
Rfam family: Bacterial small subunit ribosomal RNA
Source: RNAcentral